Molecule: ribosomal RNA, 104 nt
Organism: Aotus nancymaae (Ma's night monkey)
Lineage: Eukaryota; Metazoa; Chordata; Mammalia; Primates; Aotidae
Source: Ensembl
GUCUACAGCUAUACCACCCUGAACACUCCGGAUCACAUCUGAUCUCAAAAGCCAGGCAGGUCGGGCUUGGUUAGUACUUGGAUGGGAGAAUGUAAGGUUUGAUU